ACCAGGAUGGCUGAGUGGUUAAGGUGUUGGACUUAAAAUCCAAUGGAUGUAUGUCUGUGUGGAUUUGAACUCUACUGUUAGUA
RNAcentral lists this transfer RNA (83 nucleotides) under Alligator mississippiensis (American alligator). It matches the Rfam family "tRNA". From Rfam's summary of the family: Transfer RNA (tRNA) molecules are approximately 80 nucleotides in length. Their secondary structure includes four short double-helical elements and three loops (D, anti-codon, and T loops). The record is from Rfam by way of RNAcentral. Lineage: Eukaryota; Metazoa; Chordata; Crocodylia; Alligatoridae.